Ictidomys tridecemlineatus (thirteen-lined ground squirrel) is the source of this 1491-nucleotide non-coding RNA. NCBI's taxonomy places the organism in Eukaryota, Metazoa, Chordata, Mammalia, Rodentia, Sciuridae. The record is from RefSeq and is a predicted model, not a curated record.
CUCCCAGGAAGGGGCAAGGCUGGUGCACUUUGGUGAGGAGGCAGCUGGUAAUUCUGUCUGCAUCUUCUCCUUAAGUUGUAAACUUCUCAGUGCUUUCCUGAGGCUUGCAAUCAAGACUUACCAAGCACCACAGGCUAAUGUGGGAAAACCAGGAAGGGUGCUACCUGUGCUUGGGACACAGCAGAAUGGAGAGUCCUGGCUUGAAGAUGUGACUUCAAGAAAGCAAGUGUGAGCAGAAGAGGCACAGGCUCAGGGGUCCGAAGACCAGUUGGUAAACUGCAGCUGUGACUGCUUUUCAGAACAGGCAAAUGCUCCCUAAAGGCCCUGGAAAUGGGAUGGAAAGAGAAACUCCUAAAAGACUCAGCAUGGGUCUCAGACUACCUUGGAUGGGUAUGGAAGUAUUAUCCAAACUGGAGAACUCCAUAGGCCCAUUUUACUGAUGAGAAAACUCUGUUUUUGAGAUGAAAAGAAAACAAUCAGGAAUAUAAUAUUGUGAAGUGCUGAGAUUUGCACCCAGGAUGAUGGACUUCCCUAGCCUCUGUUUUCCCCACGGCAUUUUGGUGGUGUCUUGCAGCUGGCUGGAGUUACCAGAGGAGGUGGAAGUUUCAUUAAGUCUUUAAAAAGGAUUCAUAGAAUGAGCACAGGGGAAGAUAAAAUAAGCCGGGGAACAUUGGCAGCUGGCGAGCCUUUCUGGAGUGGCGAGAGAGUCUGCACCUGCCAGGAGCCAGAGGAGGGGAAAGACGUCCUCACUUCUAAACACCGACGUGGAACUGUCCCCUGCACUCCCAGAGCACUGUCGCAGGGACAUUCGAGAUGAUUGACGCUAAUGGAUGGGUUUAGUGCCCAGGAAGGCCCCGUUUAGAGAGCCCUAUCCCUCCUACUCUGAGAGGACACAGCUGGAAGGUAACCAUCUAGAAGCCAGGAAGUGAACUCCUGCCAGGCAUUGAGUCAGUCUGUGCCUUCAUCUUGGACUUCCAGCUUCCAGAACUCAUCGUUUAGGUUGGUGCGAAGGGAGAGAAGUCAGCGGGACCAGGAUUUAAGAAAGUCGCUAAUAUCGAGACGAACCAAGUCUUCCACGCUUUGCAAAACAUGCCUGGCCAUUGCUUGGAGGAAGCCUGCUGCACAUUACACCCAGAAAACAGGCCCUUUGAGCAGAAGCUCUUGGCAAGAAUUACAUUAAGACCACUCACUUGGAGGAGCUCACAAUGCUGUAUUGCCUUGAAUCUCAGAGAAGACUUUGGACUUGAACUUUGAGCAUUCUCAGAAGUUUGGAGACUAUGGGGAUUAUUGAGAAUGGACUAAAUGUAUUUUGCAUUGUCAGAUGAGUUUGAGAUUUUGGGGUCCAGGGGUGGAGCGUUAUGAUUUAAAUUUGGUAUCCCACAAAAGCUCAUGUGUGAAACAAUGUGAGAAGGUUCAGAGGGGAAAUGAUUAGGCUGUGAACGCCUUAAAGUAAUCAGUGAAUUAAUCUUCAAUGGGAUUAACUGAGCGAUA